Molecule: ribosomal RNA, 468 nt
Filed under: uncultured bacterium
Lineage: Bacteria
Description: partial 16S ribosomal RNA
Rfam family: Bacterial small subunit ribosomal RNA
Source: RNAcentral
GACGAACGCUGGCGGCGUGCUUAACACAUGCAAGUCGAACGGAAAGGCCCUGCUUUUGUGGGGUGCUCGAGUGGCGAACGGGUGAGUAACACGUGAGUAACCUGCCCUUGACUUUGGGAUAACUUCAGGAAACUGGGGCUGAUACCGGAUAGGAGCUCCUGCUGCAUGGUGGGGGUUGGAAAGUUUCGGCGGUUGGGGAUGGACUCGCGGCUUAUCAGCUUGUUGGUGGGGUAGUGGCUUACCAAGGCUUUGACGGGUAGCCGGCCUGAGAGGGUGACCGGCCACAUUGGGACUGAGAUACGGCCCAGACUCCUACGGGAGGCAGCAGUGGGGAAUAUUGCACAAUGGGCGGAAGCCUGAUGCAGCAACGCCGCGUGCGGGAUGACGGCCUUCGGGUUGUAAACCGCUUUCGCCUGUGACGAAGCGUGAGUGACGGUAAUGGGUAAAGAAGGACCGGCUAACUACGUG